This 862-nucleotide long non-coding RNA is filed under the name Glycine max (soybean). RNAcentral's name for it is "long non-coding RNA (GMAX_LNC003479)". Lineage: Eukaryota; Viridiplantae; Streptophyta; Magnoliopsida; Fabales; Fabaceae. The record is from RNAcentral.
UUGAUCUAUUAAAUUGAGGGACUAAAAUUAUGUAGCUGUGAUACCUAAAGACCUAAUUGACACAACUAAAUUUUGGGGAAAAAAAUAACACAUUUAUGACACUUGAAGACCCAAUUUGCACAAUUAAAACUUAAAAACUAAAAUUAAAUAAUUAUAAUACAUGAGAUACUAAAAAUAAAAUUAAGUCAAUUUCAAAUUUACGUGUUUCAUCAUAGAAAAGAAAACCUCUCUCCUAGGAGUUUGCCCACCAUUAUGUUACUUUAAUUUGACGACUCCCCACUUGCCAAAAACAACAUAAAGUCAAAUUCUGUUUUAGAAAUAAGCCGACGACGAAAUUGAAUUAAGAAAACUAUAGUUAAUUUGCUGAUGCUAGACCAGAGCGAAUAACCUCCUUCAGCUGGAAUAUGAAAAUUUUGCUUUCCCCAGCAAAACCAUUAGUACAGCCACAUAUUCAAUUAUUAGUUUCGUGUCAAAGCAAAUCAAGCUUUGAAGUCAUGAGAACAAAUGAUCCUUGUACAUAUGAUUUUCUAGUUCUACGUCAAAUUAAUAAGUAGCACUUUUUUUUUUUCUUUUCCAGAACUUUAAUAAGUAGAACUUAAAACAUCAUAAAAUUGACCCUUUUGUUACUUGGUAACUAGUACUACUUUGUUGGGUUAGAACAAUGUACCUUUAUUUAGCCAAUGGAUGGACCCUCUCGGCUACCUAACUAAACACCAAAUGCUUUGUUUUUGAACCUGAAAUUUGAAUUACCUGUAAAGAAGGGUAGCUACUAACUUUGUUUCUCGUAAAGUGGCCAUAUAUAUAUUUGGCCCAGAUGCUUGGGGCUAACGUACUGAAACAGACUAAACUUCAAUUCAAUUUA